This 651-nucleotide ribosomal RNA is filed under the name uncultured organism. Its description in RNAcentral is "bacterial SSU rRNA". It matches the Rfam family "Bacterial small subunit ribosomal RNA", at positions 1 to 663 of the family's 1533-position model. The record is from RNAcentral.
GGCUUAGAGUUUGAUCAUGGCUCAGGAUAAACGCUGGCGGCGCACAUAAGACAUGCAAGUCGAACGAACUUAACCAUUAGUUUACUAUUGGAGCGGUUAGUGGCGGACUGGUGAGUAACACGUAAGCAACCUGCCUGUUAGAGGGGAACAACAGUUAGAAAUGACUGCUAAUACCGCAUAUGCCAUAGUGAGGACAUCCUCACUGUGGGAAAGGAGAAAUCCGCUAACAGAUGGGCUUGCGUCUGAUUAGAUAGUUGGUGUGGUAACGGCAUACCAAGUCGACGAUCAGUAGCCGGACUGAGAGGUUGAACGGCCACAUUGGGACUGAGAUACGGCCCAGACUCCUACGGGAGGCAGCAGUCGGGAAUAUUGCGCAAUGGAGGAAACUCUGACGCAGUGACGCCGCGUGCAGGAAGAAGGUUUUCGGAUUGUAAACUGCUUUAGACAGGGAAGAAAAAGGACAGUACCUGCAGAAUAAGCUCCGGCUAACUACGUGCCAGCAGCCGCGGUAAUACGUAGGGAGCAAGCGUUAUCCGGAUUUAUUGGGUGUAAAGGGUGCGUAGACGGGAAGUUAAGUUAGUUGUGAAAUCCCUCGGCUCAACUGAGGAACUGCAACUAAACUGAUUUUCUUGAGUGCUGGAGAGGAAAGUG